RNAcentral lists this ribosomal RNA (650 nucleotides) under uncultured marine bacterium. RNAcentral's name for it is "bacterial SSU rRNA". It matches the Rfam family "Bacterial small subunit ribosomal RNA", at positions 87 to 770 of the family's 1533-position model. The record is from RNAcentral.
UGUCCUUAGUGGCGGACGGGUGAGUAACGCGUGGGCACCUGCCCUAGAGUGAAGGAUAACCACUGGAAACGGUGGCUAAUACUGCAUAAUCCCUGAGGGGGAAAGGCUUCGGCCGCUCUUGGAUGGGCCCGCGUUAGAUUAGCUUGUUGGUGGGGUAACGGCCUACCAAGGCGACGAUCUAUAGCUGGUCUGAGAGGAUGAUCAGCCACACUGGGACUGAGACACGGCCCAGACUCCUACGGGAGGCAGCAGUGGGGAAUAUUGGACAAUGGGGGAAACCCUGAUCCAGCAAUGCCGCGUGAGUGAAGAAGGCCUUAGGGUUGUAAAACUCUUUCACUGAUGAAGAUGAUGACGGUAAUCAGAGAAGAAGCCCCGGCUAACUCCGUGCCAGCAGCCGCGGUAAUACGGAGGGGGCUAGCGUUGUUCGGAAUUACUGGGCGUAAAGCGCACGUAGGCGGCGUAUCCAGUCAGGGGUGAAAGGCCUGGGCUCAACCCGGGAACUGCCUUUGAUACUGAUAUGCUUGAGUACGGGAGAGGGUAGUGGAAUUCCAAGUGUAGAGGUGAAAUUCGUAGAUAUUUGGAAGAACACCGGUGGCGAAGGCGGCUACCUGGCCCGGAACUGACGCUGAGGUGCGAAAGCGUGGGGAGCA